This 400-nucleotide long non-coding RNA is filed under the name Elaeis guineensis (African oil palm). Its description in RNAcentral is "long non-coding RNA (EGUI_LNC007713)". The record is from RNAcentral. Lineage: Eukaryota; Viridiplantae; Streptophyta; Magnoliopsida; Arecales; Arecaceae.
UCACUCUCAGUCCUCCUCAGCCUACAUCCAGAGAUGGGCACCCCUAGGUACUGCAAAAUCCCGCGAUGCUUAGUGACACCCAAUCUCUCUAUGAUUGAGUGGUGGAGCUGCAUCGACAUCCUUGGACUAAAAUGCACAGCUGACUUGAGAAGAUUCACCUUCUAUCCUGAGGUAUUACAAUAGUCCUCCAAGAUCAUUCUAAAUCCUACGACACUUCAAACUAUGGCCUGGCCCACUAACAAGUAGUCAUCUGCAAAAAGAAGGUGUGAGAUCAGCUAAGCCCCAAAGAUUGGCACAUAAGGGCCUAUCACCUACCCCUUUGAUGUAGUACGAAGGGCUCUUGAGAAGACAUCAGCAUAGAUAAUAAAAAGAUAAGAAGAGAGAGGACAAUCUUGCCGCA